GCUCCGCCCCGCCUCCUUCCCGCCGCCUUUUGGCGCGCUUCGCCCCCGGGCCCCCGGCGCGGCCGCCUGCCUGAGACUGGGCGCCGACCGGACGCCGGAGCCCUACUGCUGUGUCCACGGCCCCUCGGCCGGCUUAGGGCGCAUCUUCCGGGUCUCGCUCCUCCGCCCCCAUCGGCGCCGGACCCUCCGCGCCGGGCGCUUGGGAUCCGAGGCCCAGAAGAAGGGCCGCGCAUCUUAGGGGCGCCGCCAUCCAGGUCCGCGGAGUGUCUGCACUGGCUGUGGCCUACAGGGGACAGGCGUGGAGGUCGCGGCCCCGUAACCCAGGGUAAAGUGGAGCCGCUUGCUUCUGGGUACCAGCCGGGUUCCUCGGCUCAGAAGGGCACGCCUCGCCUGUGCCCCUGCGCGUCCGGGGAGUCACUUGGGACGCAAACGCUCCAGGGUCGCGCCCGCACCAAGCUCCCUCCCAGGGACAACGCCUCCUGGCCCCGCCCGG
This 493-nucleotide long non-coding RNA is filed under the name Sus scrofa (pig). RNAcentral's name for it is "lncRNA (ENSSSCG00050012559.1, ENSSSCG00055003365.1)". The record is from RNAcentral. Lineage: Eukaryota; Metazoa; Chordata; Mammalia; Artiodactyla; Suidae.